UACGGGGGGGGCAAGCGUUGUUCGGAAUUACUGGGCGUAAAGGGCUCGUAGGUGGCCAACUAAGUCAGACGUGAAAUCCCUCAGCUUAACUGGGGAACUGCGUCUGAUACUGGAUGGCUUGAGUUUGGGAGAGGGAUGCGGAAUUCCAGGUGUAGCGGUGAAAUGCGUAGAUAUCUGGAGGAACACCGGUGGCGAAGGCGGCGCGCUGGACCUCUUCUGACGCUGAGGCGCGAAAGCCAGGGGAGCAAACGGG
This 253-nucleotide ribosomal RNA is filed under the name uncultured bacterium. Its description in RNAcentral is "partial 16S ribosomal RNA". It matches the Rfam family "Bacterial small subunit ribosomal RNA", at positions 524 to 776 of the family's 1533-position model. The record is from RNAcentral.